AUACUUACCUGGACGGGGUCAAUGGGUGAUCAAGAAGGCCUAUGGCCUAGAUCAGUGACCUCCAUUGCACUUUGGAGGGGUGCUGGUCUAAGGUCUUCCCAAGAGGAAGAGCCUACGUCAUAAUUUGUGGCAGUGGGGGCCUGCGUUCGCGCGGCCCCUCC
Molecule: non-coding RNA, 161 nt
Organism: Jatropha curcas
Lineage: Eukaryota; Viridiplantae; Streptophyta; Magnoliopsida; Malpighiales; Euphorbiaceae
Source: Rfam